This 75-nucleotide transfer RNA is filed under the name Terriglobia bacterium. RNAcentral describes it as "tRNA-Cys". It matches the Rfam family "tRNA". From Rfam's summary of the family: Transfer RNA (tRNA) molecules are approximately 80 nucleotides in length. RNAcentral also lists the same sequence under 2 other names. The record is from RNAcentral. Lineage: Bacteria; Pseudomonadati; Acidobacteriota; Terriglobia.
GGCGCGGUAGCCAAGUGGUAAGGCCAAGGUCUGCAAAACCUUUAUUCGUCGGUUCAAUUCCGACCCGCGCCUCCA